Molecule: ribosomal RNA, 445 nt
Filed under: uncultured bacterium
Lineage: Bacteria
Description: bacterial SSU rRNA
Rfam family: Bacterial small subunit ribosomal RNA
Source: RNAcentral
GUAGGGAAUAUUGGGCAAUGGUCGGAAGACUGACCCAGCCAUGCCGCGUGCCGGAAGAAGGCCCUCAGGGUUGUAAACGGCUUUUGACGGUGAAGAAUCGACAGGAUGCGUCCUGUUUUGACGGUAGCCGUUGAAUAAGCACCGGCUAACUCCGUGCCAGCAGCCGCGGUAAUACGGAGGGUGCGAGCGUUGUCCGGAUUUAUUGGGUUUAAAGGGUGCGUAGGCUGGAAGGUCAGUCAGCGGUGAAAAGCUGUCGCUUAACGAUAGUCUUGCCGCAGAUACUUCCUUUCUUGGAUGAGGAGGAGGCCACUGGAACGGAUGGUGUAGCGGUGAAAUGCAUAGAUAUCAUCCAGAACACCGAUUGCGAACGCAGGUGGCUGUACCUUAAUCGACGCUGAUGCACGAAAGCAUGGGGAGCAAACAGGAUUAGAAACCCUAGUAGUCC